UGGCAUCUAGUUUAGAAAACUAUGACGAGUGACAUCUAGUUAUAGAAAACUAUGACGGAUGGCAUAUGAUUGUUGAUGACCUUGAUAUGAGAACAUUAGUGUAGUUGAGACACUAUGAGAUUGGGUACAAGAAUACCUUGAUUCCAUGAUGAGAUUACCCUUAGAGGGUAGGUUGCUGAUGUUCGUGAGUUGAUCGUGCUCACAUUGCCUGUCUGCGCUUGGAGGGGUCGCUCCCCACAAGCUGUGCACUCCGGAGGUUGGUCACUAGAGGGACAGUCAGUGUGCUGUCUGGACGGUCUGUGUGCUGUCCGCAGGCGGUCUCGGGGAAUAGUUCAGUGAGACUUUUCCCUAUGAGACUUACACGUGAGAUAUGUUCGUGAACCCGAGUUCACCAUGAGAUUUGGUUACCUAUUGAGUCACACUCAUUAUUGUUGCUCAUGAUAGCUUGAUUACAUAGCUUACUUGUUGUUCAUGAUAGCUUGCUUACAUAGCUUACUUACCCAGCUUUAUUUGUUGCU
RNAcentral lists this long non-coding RNA (518 nucleotides) under Ananas comosus (pineapple). Its description in RNAcentral is "long non-coding RNA (ACOM_LNC031548)". Lineage: Eukaryota; Viridiplantae; Streptophyta; Magnoliopsida; Poales; Bromeliaceae. The record is from RNAcentral.